CACCCGUAGCUCAGCUGGAUAGAGCGCUGCCCUCCGAAGGCAGAGGUCACAGGUUCGAAUCCUGUCGGGUGUGCCA
This 76-nucleotide transfer RNA is filed under the name Brucella inopinata. RNAcentral's name for it is "tRNA-Arg". It matches the Rfam family "tRNA". Rfam says of the family: Transfer RNA (tRNA) molecules are approximately 80 nucleotides in length. Their secondary structure includes four short double-helical elements and three loops (D, anti-codon, and T loops). The record is from RNAcentral. Lineage: Bacteria; Pseudomonadati; Pseudomonadota; Alphaproteobacteria; Hyphomicrobiales; Brucellaceae.